AGUGAACGCUGGCGGUAGGCCUUACACAUGCAAGUCGAACGGUAACAGGUCUUCGGAUGCUGACGAGUGGCGAACGGGUGAGUAAUACAUCGGAACGUGCCUAGUAGUGGGGGAUAACUACUCGAAAGAGUGGCUAAUACCGCAUGAGAUCUACGGAUGAAAGCAGGGGAUCGCAAGACCUUGUGCUACUAGAGCGGCCGAUGGCAGAUUAGGUAGUUGGUGGGAUAAAAGCUUACCAAGCCGACGAUCUGUAGCUGGUCUGAGAGGACGAUCAGCCACACUGGGACUGAGACACGGCCCAGACUCCUACGGGAGGCAGCAGUGGGGAAUUUUGGACAAUGGGCGAAAGCCUGAUCCAGCAAUGCCGCGUGCAGGAUGAAGGCCUUCGGGUUGUAAACUGCUUUUGUACGGAACGAAAAGCCCCGGGUUAAUACCCCGGGGUCAUGACGGUACCGUAAGAAUAAGCACCGGCUAACUACGUGCCAGCAGCCGCGGUAA
RNAcentral lists this ribosomal RNA (498 nucleotides) under uncultured bacterium. RNAcentral describes it as "partial 16S ribosomal RNA". It matches the Rfam family "Bacterial small subunit ribosomal RNA", at positions 29 to 523 of the family's 1533-position model. The record is from RNAcentral.